This 72-nucleotide small nucleolar RNA is filed under the name Leishmania major strain Friedlin. RNAcentral's name for it is "Leishmania major h/ACA-like snoRNA". It matches the Rfam family "Trypanosomatid snoRNA TB10Cs1H1". The record is from RNAcentral. Lineage: Eukaryota; Euglenozoa; Kinetoplastea; Trypanosomatida; Trypanosomatidae.
CGGCAUCCCUUGUUGAUAGCGAGCAGUCCACCCGCAUCCCCGCAAGCUGCUCGUCUACACCGAGGGAGAGAA